RNAcentral lists this ribosomal RNA (493 nucleotides) under uncultured bacterium. Its description in RNAcentral is "bacterial SSU rRNA". It matches the Rfam family "Bacterial small subunit ribosomal RNA", at positions 28 to 516 of the family's 1533-position model. The record is from RNAcentral.
GACGAACGCUGGCGGCGUGGAUUAGGCAUGCAAGUCGAACGGCAGGAUACCUUCGGGUAUCUGAGAGUGGCGAACGGGUGAGUAACACGUAGGUGAUCUACCCUCAAGAUUGGGACAACCCAGGGAAACUUGGGCUAAUACCGGAUGAAAGCAGCAGUGAUGUUGUUUGAAAGGUGGCGUAAGCUGCCGUUUGGGGAUGAGCCUGCGCUCUAUUAGUUAGUUGGCGGGGUAAAGGCCCACCAAGGCGAUGAUAGAUAGGCGGCCUUAACGGGUGGUCGCCCACACUGGGAUUGAGAUACGGCCCAGACUCCUACGGGAGGCAGCAGUCGAGAAUAGUCUACAAUGGCCGAAAGGCUGAUAGGUGCGACGCCGCGUGAACGAAGAAGCCCUUGGGGUGUAAAGUUCUUUUAAUGUGAGCAGUGCUUUUCAUGUGAACAGCAAGUGGGGAGAGAGAUAUUAGCAUAUGAAUAAGCAACGGCUAACCUCCGUAGCC